GACGAACGCUGGCGGCGUGCCUAAUACAUGCCAGUCGAACGCUGAAGGAGGAGCUUGCUCUUCUGGAUGAGUUGCGAACGGGUGAGUAACGCGUAGGUAACCUGCCUGGUAGCGGGGGAUAACUAUUGGAAACGAUAGCUAAUACCGCAUAACAGUAGAUGUUGCAUGACAUUUGCUUAAAAGGUGCAAUUGCACCACUACCAGAUGGACCUGCGUUGUAUUAGCUAGUUGGUGGGGUAACGGCUCACCAAGGCGACGAUACAUAGCCGACCUGAGAGGGUGAUCGGCCACACUGGGACUGAGACACGGCCCAGACUCCUACGGGAGGCAGCAGUAGGGAAUCUUCGGCAAUGGACGGAAGUCUGACCGAGCAACGCCGCGUGAGUGAAGAAGGUUUUCGGAUCGUAAAGCUCUGUUGUAAGAGAAGAACGAGUGUGAGAGUGGAAAGUUCACACUGUGACGGUAUCUUACCAGAAAGGGACGGCUAACUACGUG
RNAcentral lists this ribosomal RNA (495 nucleotides) under uncultured bacterium. RNAcentral's name for it is "partial 16S ribosomal RNA". It matches the Rfam family "Bacterial small subunit ribosomal RNA", at positions 28 to 507 of the family's 1533-position model. The record is from RNAcentral.